UGGGGUUUACCAGAUUAGAGAUUUUGUUCCUGAUCAGAAAAUCUCUACUCGUGUGGAAGAUUCCGUAUGAGACGGAGGGAGGGAGGUAGGAAGGGAGGGAGGAUCUGUUUGAUUUCAUGCAGCCUCGCGUAAGAAACUCUAUCAAGGGGAGAAAUGGUGUAUAGCUGGACUUCGAUGUAUGCAUUACUUUGAUCUUGUUUGACAUAAAUGUCAGUGAUUUUCCUCUUCAUUAGGUCCUAGACAAUGAUAAAAGCUCACGACAAUCUUUUUAAAUCUGCAGAGGCAUUUGCUGUUUGUGAGAACUAUCCUCCCCCUGAAGGAUUUAACCCGAAGGACUUAACAUCACCUUUUAGGAAAGAUUGGGAGUCCAUCUGGAGUUGAUGACCUAAAUUGCAGUAGUGGAUGGUUGGAGGGGCCGAACAAGGUGUACAUUCCAUUUCUAGCCUGCGGUGACCUCAGUGGCCAUGACUCCGACCGAUCGUACCCGCUCCCUAAAGCGCCCGACGGGACUCACAAGAGCCUUGAUCCUGUGCAACCCCCAAUCGCCCCUCCUUACAAGAGGGCUCUGGAGUUGAAGAAAGCCUCUUGUCAUGGAGUUGAAGAACUCGAAAAGCUAUCCUUGGAUUCCUGAUUCUUGCCAUUGGAUGUUGCUUUAAUUUCACAAAGACCUAGAAGUUAAUGUGUCCGUCUGUCAGCAAGUUAUUGAAUGAUGGACAUGAGUUCUGCGUAAAUUGAAGCCCCUUUUCUCAUAAGGAACACUAGCAAUCUCUCCAUAUGUUUGCUGUGUAGAACACGCGAAGACUCUGUCCCUCUUUUUCAUUUUCUCUGUGAGAGACAGGUUAGGGGUGGCGAAGAACUCGUGCGGACGCAUUUAAGCGUAGUCAAAAAGAUGGAGAGAAAGCUGUUGCCAAGAGGGACGCUUGGUCACGCUUUAGAAUUGGAGGUGGUCCUGACAAUGCUUUUCUUUGAAUAUAUGUCCGGAAAAAGGCCGAUCCUAAUGUCUAAAUGGGCCAAUCGAGAA
Rhodamnia argentea is the source of this 1021-nucleotide long non-coding RNA. RefSeq lists it as uncharacterized. The transcript has 2 exons. The record is from RefSeq and is a predicted model, not a curated record. NCBI's taxonomy places the organism in Eukaryota, Viridiplantae, Streptophyta, Magnoliopsida, Myrtales, Myrtaceae.